This 63-nucleotide transfer RNA is filed under the name Modiolus nipponicus. RNAcentral describes it as "tRNA-His". The record is from RNAcentral. RNAcentral also lists the same sequence under 1 other name. Lineage: Eukaryota; Metazoa; Mollusca; Bivalvia; Mytilida; Modiolidae.
UGAAAGUUAGUUUAAUAAAAAACGUUGGCUUGUGGUGCUAAAGAAAGCAAAGGCUACUUUUAU